RNAcentral lists this ribosomal RNA (490 nucleotides) under uncultured bacterium. RNAcentral describes it as "partial 16S ribosomal RNA". It matches the Rfam family "Bacterial small subunit ribosomal RNA", at positions 30 to 507 of the family's 1533-position model. The record is from RNAcentral.
AUUGAACGCUGGCGGCAGGCCUAACACAUGCAAGUCGAACGGUAACAGGAAGAAGCUUGCUUCUUUGCUGACGAGUGGCGGACGGGUGAGUAAUGUCUGGGAAACUGCCUGAUGGAGGGGGAUAACUACUGGAAACGGUAGCUAAUACCGCAUAACGUCGCAAGCCCAAAGAGGGGGACCUUCGGGCCUCUUGCCAUCGGAUGUGCCCAGAUGGGAUUAGCUAGUAGGUGGGGUAACGGCUUACCUAGGCGACGAUCCGUAGCCGGUCUGAGAGGGUGAACAGCCACACUGGAACUGAGACACGGUCCAGACUCCUACGGGAGGCAGCAGUGGGGAAUAUUGCACAAUGGGCGCAAGCCUGAUGCAGCCAUGCCGCGUGUAUGAAGAAGGCCUUCGGGUUGUAAAGUACUUUCAGCGGGGAGGAAGGGAGUAAAGUUAAUACCUUUGCUCAUUGACGUUACCCGCAGAAGAAGCACCGGCUAACUCCGUG